AUUACCCAAUACUGACACGGUGAGGUAGUGACAAGAAAUAACAAUACGGGGCUUAAUGUCUUGUAAUUGGAAUGAUGGGAAUUUAAACCUCUUCCAGAGUAUCAAUUGGAGGGCAAGUCUGGUGCCAGCAGCCGCGGUAAUUCCAGCUCCAAUAGCGUAUAUUAAAUUUGUUGCAGUUAAAAAGCUCGUAGUUGAAUUUCUGCUGCAUUACAUUUCUCUUGUUUGAGUUUGUUAUUGUGGCUUAUUUCGGAUUGAUUUUUAUCAUUCCGGAUGAUUACUUUGAGAAAAUUAGAGUGCUCAAAGCAGGCUUUUGCCUUGAAUAGUUUAGCAUGGAAUAAUAGAGUAGGACUUUGGUUCUAUUUUGUUGGUUUUAGGUACCAAAGUAAUGGUUAAUAGGAACAGUUGGGGGCAUUCGUAUUUAA
This 422-nucleotide ribosomal RNA is filed under the name Theileria orientalis. RNAcentral describes it as "SSU rRNA". It matches the Rfam family "Eukaryotic small subunit ribosomal RNA", at positions 440 to 901 of the family's 1831-position model. The record is from RNAcentral. Lineage: Eukaryota; Apicomplexa; Aconoidasida; Piroplasmida; Theileriidae.